This 470-nucleotide ribosomal RNA is filed under the name uncultured bacterium. RNAcentral's name for it is "bacterial SSU rRNA". It matches the Rfam family "Bacterial small subunit ribosomal RNA", at positions 335 to 799 of the family's 1533-position model. The record is from RNAcentral.
ACUCCUACGGGAGGCAGCAGUGGGGAAUUUUGGACAAUGGGGGCAACCCUGAUCCAGCCAUGCCGCGUGAGUGAAGAAGGCCUCGGGUUGUAAGCUCUUCGGCGGGGAAGGAAAUGGCAACGGCUAAUAUCCGUUGUUGAUGACGGUACCCGCAUAAGAAGCACCGGCUAACUACGUGCCAGCAGCCGCGGUAAUACGUAGGGUGCGAGCGUUAAUCGGAAUUACUGGGCGUAAAGCGUGCGCAGGCGGUUUCGUAAGACAGACGUGAAAUCCCCGGGCUCAACCUGGGAACUGCGUUUGUGACUGCGAGGCUAGAGUACGGCGAGAGGGGGUAGAAUUCCACGUGUAGCAGUGAAAUGCGUAGAGAUGUGGAGGAAUACCGAUGGCGAAGGCAGCCCCCUGGGUUAGUACUGACGCUCAUGCACGAAAGCGUGGGAGCAAACAGGAUUAGAUACCCUGGUAGGAUAGCG